UCUAAAGCCUUAAUUUCAUUAACUAUUGCAUCAUGUCAGUAAGCAUGUUUCAUUAUUGAGGAGAAGUACUUGGAUUCUUGAGAUGAGGAAAUAGAAGCUAGAACUGCAUGGUGAGAGCAAACUUAUGAAAGAAAAAAUAAUUUUAGCUUGACAUUUAGUACCCAUCACAGGACUAUUUUGAUGUGGGCAAGUAAAGGAUGAAACUUGAAAACAUCAAAAUCUUAAAGCUAUUGGAGAGGACAUCAGAUCCUUGUGGAGAAUUUUGGAUUCAGAUCGAGGGAUGUUGUUUCAUAAGAAUCCUGAUUAAGAGUGAAAGAAGGUCGAAUAGAUGAAGAUGGAAGGUUAAGAGAAUGGGUUCAUCACCAUUAUCAAUAAUGUGAGGAAGCAUUGGAGAUUGGGAAG
RNAcentral lists this long non-coding RNA (402 nucleotides) under Elaeis guineensis (African oil palm). RNAcentral describes it as "long non-coding RNA (EGUI_LNC032540)". The record is from RNAcentral. Lineage: Eukaryota; Viridiplantae; Streptophyta; Magnoliopsida; Arecales; Arecaceae.